CUCGGCUCUCGCAUCGAUGAAGAACGUAGCGAAAUGCGAUACUUGGUGUGAAUUGCAGGAUCCCGCGAACCACCGAGUCUUUGAACGCAAGUUGCGCCCGGAGCCUUCUGG
RNAcentral lists this ribosomal RNA (111 nucleotides) under Cucumis melo (muskmelon). RNAcentral describes it as "5.8S ribosomal RNA". It matches the Rfam family "5.8S ribosomal RNA", at positions 20 to 128 of the family's 154-position model. From Rfam's summary of the family: 5.8S ribosomal RNA (5.8S rRNA) is a component of the large subunit of the eukaryotic ribosome. It is transcribed by RNA polymerase I as part of the 45S precursor that also contains 18S and 28S rRNA. Functionally, it is thought that 5.8S rRNA may be involved in ribosome translocation. Lineage: Eukaryota; Viridiplantae; Streptophyta; Magnoliopsida; Cucurbitales; Cucurbitaceae. The record is from Rfam by way of RNAcentral.